AUUCGUGUCUAGUGCGCGUGUAUUAGACGUUUGCAGAGGGAGUUGAAUUUCACGUAGAUAGCUAGGCUAGCUAGCUUGCUAUAGUUUGCAGUUGAAGCGCAGUUUGUAAUUUUAUCCAUAACAUUCUCCAGAUUUUUACAGUAUGAGUAACGUUGGUUUUUCGGCUGUACGGGGGAGCACUUCUGAGGGACCUGAUAAGGUUGACAUGUCUUUAGAUGAUAUCAUUCGUCUGAACAAGAAAGAGCAACAAGCACGGAGGCCAGGCCCGGGGAACCGCAGGCCAUUACAGAAAGGAAAGGGCUUUGUGCAAGGGAAACCAGUUGGAGCGAGAGCUGGAGGACAGACCCAAAGAGGAGGUGGUGUAGCAAGAAGGGGGGUAACGAGAGUGGGUGUUGGAAGAGGCCGGAAGAUUCCCCCUCUGGUUGGUCAAAGCCGGGGUCAAGGGGUUAUCACUGGACUGGCGGCCUGGAAGACGGCAGCCGUACAGAAAGGAAUCAGUCCACUCAACCGACCGACUGUCAACCAGAAGUCACGGCCCUUCAACAACCAACCGCGGCCCUUCAACAACCAACCGCGGCCCUUCAACAACCAACCGCGGCCCUUCAACAACCAACCGCGGCCCUUCAACAACCAAUCGUGGCCUUUUAUCCAAUCAGCCCAAUUCAGACAGACGCAAGGCCAGAGGAGGCCGUACAGACAGACAGACGUACAGAGAGGCCCCAACACGAUGACACAGACAAGACCCGUUCAGCUGCGGGGACGGCCUCUGCCCCCUGUCCAUCAAACCCAGAGAGAAGCCCGCCAGGCCACGUUUCUCUUCCACAGGGGCCUCAAGGUUCAUGCCCAGGUGCAGAAGCCAGCUCCAACAUCUCUACCCCUACUCCAGUUAGAUCUCGCCAAUGGCGCACGUCAACAAACAGCAGUGGGAUCCUGACCGUUUCCAUCGACAACCCAACUGCCACCAUGAUGCAGCCUGAGCCUCCCAGUGCUUGGUCCCUGCACCCCUCGGCACCCAUCAGCCCGGCCCCAGUCAAGGUGGAGGAGGAGAAGAAACCAGUACCACCUAAAGGAGUCCCCCUGCAGUUUGACAUCAACAGCGUGGGGAAACAGACGGCGCUGACUUUGAAUGAGCGAUUCCGCAUCCUGAAAGACCAGCGCAUCGCCACUGCGCAGACCAGCAAAGGCAGCCGAUUCGUCACCGUGGGUUAAUCCAACGAUACGAAGGAAACCUUUGUGUUCCACUCAGACAGACACGCACUCUGACCCACACUUAUCUAAUUUGCUGGAACCAUUCAAAAGGUCCCUGCACUGAUCUUAAGCUGAUUCUCCUGAGUGACUUUCCUCAUGGAGCAGCAGAAUGAGAUACAAAGUGCACUACUCCUCAAAUGUGAGAACUAUAUACGGGUGCAGUUAUUGUGGAAUAUUUUUUUUUUUGUACCAUGAUAGGACACUCAUUAUUCAUAACAAUGUAUACUGACCAAAAAUAUAAAUGCAACAAUUUCAAAGAUUUUACUGAGUUACUGUUCAUAUAAGAAAAUCGGUCAAUUUAAAUAAGUAAAUUAGGCCUUAAUCUAAUGAUUUCACAUGACUGGGCAGGGGUGCAGUCUGGGGAGCCAGGCCCAACCAAUCAGAAUGAGGUUUUUUCCCACAAAAUGGCUUUAUUACAGACAAAUACUCCUCAGCUUCACCAGCUGUCCGGGUGGCUGGUCUUGGACAAUCCCGCAGCUGAAGAAGCCAGAUGUGGAGGUCCUGAGCUGGCUUGGUUACACGCUGUAAGGCCGAUUGGAGGUCCUGCCAAAUUCUCUAAAUCUACGUUGGAGGCGGCUUAUGGUAGCGAAAUUAACAUUAUGUUCUCUGGCAACAGCUCUGGAUGACAUUCCUGCAGUCAGCAUGCCAAUUGCAUGCUCCCUCAACCUGAGACAUCUUAUGGCGUGUUCUGUGACUGCAAUUUCUUUUUUUCAGCACAAGGUGCACCUUUGUAAUGAUCAUGCUGUUUAAUCAGAUUCUUGAUAUGUUACACCUGUCAGGAGGAUGGAUUAUCUUGGCAAAAGAGAAAUGCUCACUAACAUGGAUGUAAACAAAUUUGUGCACAAAAUUUGAGAAAUAUUUUGUGAAUAUGGAACAUUUCUGGGAUCUUAUUUCAGCUCAUGAAACGUGACCAAUGCUUUACAUGUUGCGUUUAUAUUUUUGUUCAGUGUACUUAGCUGUUGUCUUCAGGAGCUUCAACAUUUGUCUGGAUGUAAAGGAAAAUCCCCUUUCUCACAAGGAGUGCAGCUGUGGGAGUUGUACUGAAGAACAUUGGAAGAAUGUUUUUCAAUACGGAUGUUGCUUUGUGCCAGAAGGAAAGGGUUUUGUUUAGUGUCUUUUAUUAAAUUCUUUUUUUAUUGAUGGGACAUUUUUUUAAAUACUAUUUGUUUUGUUUCAAAUAUAGAAAUGUGGGACUUUGUUUCCCUCUCUAGCUAGAUUUCCAUCGAAUUCACAACUGAUUGUUCAUGCUAAUAUUCUAAAGUCUACAUAAAGGAAAUACACAUUUUCCCACCUGUGGAGUUUUUCCACCAAACAGACUUGUUGCAGAUAAAAAUCAGGGGUGUGUGAUGACGAAGUGUAGACAAUUUACUUUUAAGUUUUCAUGUACCGAAUAAAAAUCUGAAGUUCA
Molecule: RNA transcript, 2656 nt
Organism: Oncorhynchus keta (chum salmon)
Lineage: Eukaryota; Metazoa; Chordata; Actinopteri; Salmoniformes; Salmonidae
Gene name: UAP56-interacting factor-like
Exons: 9
Source: RefSeq, a predicted model, not a curated record